GGCGUAAAGAGCUCGUAGUGCGGUUUGUCGCGUCUGCUGUGAAAGCCCGGGGCUCCACCCCGGGUGUGCAGUGGGUACGGGCAGGCUGGAGUGCAGUAGGGGAGACUGGAAUUCCUGGUGUAGCGGUGAAAUGCGCAGAUAUCAGGAGGAACACCGAUUKCGAAGGCAGGUCUCUGGGCUGUUACUGACGCUGAGGAGCGAAACAUGGGGAGRRGAACARGAUUAGAUACCCUGGUAGUCCAUGCCGUAAACGUUGGGCACUAGGUGUGGGGGACAUUCCACGUUUUCCGCGCCGUAGCUAACGCAUUAAGUGCCCCGCCUGGGGAGUACGGCCCGCAAGGCUAAAACUCAAAGGGAAUUUGACGGGGGGCCCGCACAAGCGGCGGGACAUGCGGAUUAAUUCGAUGCAACGCGAAGAACCUUACCAAGGCUUGACAUACACCGGAUCUGCAGCAGAKAUGUUGUKUCYCUUCGGRGCURGUGUACAGGUGGUGCAUGGUUGUCGUCAGCUCGUGUCGUGAGAUGUUGGGUUAAGUCCCGCAACGAGCCGCAACCCUCGUUCUAUGUUGCCAGAACUUUUUUUUUUUUUUCUUCAUAGGAGACUGCCGGGGUCAACUCGGAGGAAGGUGGGGAUGACGUCAAAWAAUUYAUGCCCCUUAUGUCUUGGGCUUCACGCAUGCUACAAUGUCCGGUACAAUGGGUUGCGAUACUGUGAGGUGGAGCUAAUCCCAAAAAGCCGGUCUCAGUUGGGAUUGGGGUCUGCAACUCGACCCCAUGAAGUCGGAGUCGCUAGUAAUCGCAGAUCAAAAACGCUGCGGUGAAUACGU
RNAcentral lists this ribosomal RNA (827 nucleotides) under uncultured bacterium. RNAcentral describes it as "bacterial SSU rRNA". It matches the Rfam family "Bacterial small subunit ribosomal RNA", at positions 557 to 1371 of the family's 1533-position model. The record is from RNAcentral.